GACGGAAGGUGCAAGCGUUGCUCGGAAUCACUGGGCGUAAAGGGUGCGUAGGCGGCUUGGUAAGUUGGGUGUGAAAGCCCCGGGCUCAGCCCGGGAAGGGCACUCGAAACUGCCGAGCUGGAGUGCCGGAGGGGAGAGUGGAAUUCCUGGUGUAGCGGUGAAAUGCGUAGAUAUCGGGAGGAACACCUGUGGCGAAGGCGGCUCUCUGGUCCCAUACUGACGCUGAGGCGCGAAAGCUAGGGUAGCAAACAGG
This 253-nucleotide ribosomal RNA is filed under the name uncultured bacterium. RNAcentral's name for it is "partial 16S ribosomal RNA". It matches the Rfam family "Bacterial small subunit ribosomal RNA", at positions 524 to 776 of the family's 1533-position model. The record is from RNAcentral.